Molecule: long non-coding RNA, 1356 nt
Filed under: Mus musculus (house mouse)
Lineage: Eukaryota; Metazoa; Chordata; Mammalia; Rodentia; Muridae
Description: long non-coding RNA chr10:75860342-75861698
Source: RNAcentral
GCUUCUGCAGAGGUCUUGCUGUGCUUCUGGUGCUGUAGGAAGUAUUACAUGGGCUCUUUGUUUCCUAAGAUGGAAACGGAGGAUGCUAGAUAGUGAGGACUUGACUCUAGUGAUUAGGUUUGUCGAGGCAUUCCAGGUAGAUGCUACAGAUUAACCGUAUAGUAAGAAGUUCAGGUCUGAGAGAUUUCUGUUCCAAGAAGAGGGAACUUAAGUUAUUGGUGGAACCUGUAGGUUGGCCUUAUUUCUCAUGCUAGUGGGCUAGGAUCGACCUACUUUAGUGAAUACAACUUAACCUCAAACAAUGAGCCAAAAGCGUGAUGGCUUGUACUUGGAGAAAAAACAAUCCUUCCUUGCCUUGGGAACUUUUCUCUAAGCUCAAGAAAUUAGCCAAGCCCCAUCACUUGCUUGCUUUUGCUCUCCUGUUGUACCAACAGUCAGCCCUCGAUCCCCUGCCUGGCCCAGUAUCACCUUCGUCCCACACACUUUCAACUGCGACUUUUUGUGUGUCCUGAGCCUCCUGGGACACGUGUCCACCAGGCCUAGGCUUGUGAGUGUGAAAUGGGGAAGGAGGCAGAACGGAGUCGCCAUCUAGUUACUUCCCUACAUUCCUGUUACUCCACACAGGUGAGGAUGCUUGGAGAGAUUCCCAGGGGAGGAGUGGGCAGCAGGCUGUGAGCCAGCGGUACUAACUAGUUCUGCUCCUCUGGCCAAUUGCCAGUCCUCAGGGAAGCCCUGCUCAAAUUAGAUCCAGCAGAGUCACCCUUAUCUAGAGCCCUUGGUAGACUUUGUAUAGCUUUCUCAUUAACAAGUGAGACAUCCGACCGGUGCCCAGGAAAUGUCACGGGAAUUUUGGGACUUCCUUUGUUUUCCCUAGCCCUUUUUAAUUUUUGUUAAAAACUUUACAGUGGAUCAAGAGAUUGUAGUGUGGGGACUACCAGUUCUGUCUGUGAUGUCAAGGUUUCUAUUAGGUUUCUGACAGAAAUGAAGAUAUUCUAAAGAGACACUUGUGCCCCCUCCCUUUGGCUAACAGACUAUUGAAACAAUGGUUCCCAAGGAAAUGGAAUUUUCUCUGGAGUCUCCUGCUGGUGAAAGAGAAAGGCUGGAAGGCAGAGAUUUUAUGCAGCUCUGGACGCUUGUCAGUCUUGCAGAAGAGACUGAAGCUUGACAGUGCUGCUGGGGGAUCACAUCUUGAGCAGAAUCUCUUAGUUCUACCUACCUCUUGCCCUCUAUUUAAAUGUAAACUUCCUCUGGCAGGACCCUGAAGAUGAGCUUGGGGUGACAGUCACUGGACUUCCUUUAUGUUCCUCUUCCUUCCCAGGGUGGCCACGUUGAAAUAAAUCUCCCUCCUCCGCUUUC